GUGCUCGCUUUGGCAGCACAUUACAUUGGAAGGAUACAGAGAAAGUUAGCAUGGCCACUGCACACACAAAUUUGCACAUAAAUUCCUGAAGCACUCCAUAAUUUU
RNAcentral lists this small nuclear RNA (105 nucleotides) under Dasypus novemcinctus (nine-banded armadillo). The record is from RNAcentral. Lineage: Eukaryota; Metazoa; Chordata; Mammalia; Cingulata; Dasypodidae.